CUGUGGCACGCAGAGGAAGUGGAGCCCUGUCUUCGGUCACACCAUUGAUGGAGGACAGAUGGACAGCCGUAUGGCCAGUCACCUCUCCUCUUAAACCUUUGGAGAGUGGUCCUUUGUCCUCUGCUGGACACAUAAUAGGGAUUCGAACACACUCUCUGAAUUCACUUUUCAUAAAAACGUAAAAUCGGACUGCUCUGUACAACCAGGCUCAACUGUUGCAUGGUAGCAGAUUUGCAAACAUGAGUGCUGAGGGGUACCAGUACAGAGCGCUGUAUGAUUAUAAAAAGGAAAGAGAAGAAGAUAUUGACUUGCACUUGGGUGACAUAUUGACUGUGAAUAAAGGGUCCUUAGUAGCUCUUGGAUUCAGUGAUGGACAGGAAGCCAGGCCUGAAGAAAUUGGCUGGUUAAAUGGCUAUAAUGAAACCACAGGGGAAAGGGGGGACUUUCCGGGAACUUAUGUAGAAUAUAUUGGAAGGAAAAAAAUCUCGCCUCCCACACCAAAGCCCCGGCCACCUCGGCCUCUUCCUGUUGCACCAGGUUCUUCGAAAACUGAAGCAGAUGUUGAACAACAAGCUUUGACUCUCCCGGAUCUUGCAGAGCAGUUUGCCCCUCCUGACAUUGCCCCGCCUCUUCUUAUCAAGCUCGUGGAAGCCAUUGAAAAGAAAGGUAACCAGACUGCUAGAGGGCAUCAGUUCCUUUGUUCUAACCUUGUUUCAUGGCUGUUAUUAUUUGUCUCUUGUGCAUUCAUUAAGUAAAUUUCCUACUACCAGCUAUGUCCAGAUACUCAAACUGUUUGGGGCUAAGUACUGGGAAAAAUGUCUCAGUCUAUAAUUUCUAACUCCAGAUUAUCAUG
RNAcentral lists this small RNA (853 nucleotides) under Pongo abelii (Sumatran orangutan). Its description in RNAcentral is "retained intron". The record is from RNAcentral. Lineage: Eukaryota; Metazoa; Chordata; Mammalia; Primates; Hominidae.